AUUGAACGCUGGCGGCAUGCCUUACACAUGCAAGUCGAACGGUAACAGGUCUUCGGAUGCUGACGAGUGGCGAACGGGUGAGUAAUACAUCGGAACGUGCCCGAUCGUGGGGGAUAACGAGGCGAAAGCUUUGCUAAUACCGCAUACGAUCUACGGCUGAAAGCGUGGGCUCUUCGGAUCUCGUGCGGAAGGAGCGGCCGAUGGCUGAUUAGGUAGUUGGUGGGAUAAAAGCUUACCAAGCCGACGCUCUGUAGCUGGUCUGAGAGGAUGAUCAGCCACACUGGGACUGAGACACGGCCCAGACUCCUACGGGAGGCAGGAGUGGGGAAUUUUGGACAAUGGGCGGAAGCCUAAUCCAGCCAUGCCGCGUGCAGGAUGAAGGCCUUCGGGUUGUAAACUGCUUUUGUACGGAACGAAAAGCCUCUUUCUAAUAAAGAGGGGUCAUGACGGUACCGUAAGAAUAAGCACCGGCUAACUACGUG
This 482-nucleotide ribosomal RNA is filed under the name uncultured bacterium. Its description in RNAcentral is "partial 16S ribosomal RNA". It matches the Rfam family "Bacterial small subunit ribosomal RNA", at positions 30 to 507 of the family's 1533-position model. The record is from RNAcentral.